GACAGAGGGGGCAAGCGUUGCUCGGAAUUACUGGGCGUAAAGGGUGCGUAGGCGGCGCGGUAAGUCGGGUGUGAAAUCUCGGGGCUUAACUCCGAAACUGCAUUCGAUACUGCCGUGCUUGAGGACUGGAGAGGAGACUGGAAUUUACGGUGUAGCGGUGAAAUGCGUAGAUAUCGUAAGGAAGACCAGUGGCGAAGGCGGGUCUCUGGACAGUUCCUGACGCUGAGGCACGAAGGUCAGGGGAGCAAACGGG
This 253-nucleotide ribosomal RNA is filed under the name uncultured bacterium. RNAcentral's name for it is "partial 16S ribosomal RNA". It matches the Rfam family "Bacterial small subunit ribosomal RNA", at positions 524 to 776 of the family's 1533-position model. The record is from RNAcentral.